This 158-nucleotide ribosomal RNA is filed under the name Guarromyces ceretanicus. RNAcentral describes it as "5.8S ribosomal RNA". It matches the Rfam family "5.8S ribosomal RNA". From Rfam's summary of the family: 5.8S ribosomal RNA (5.8S rRNA) is a component of the large subunit of the eukaryotic ribosome. The record is from RNAcentral. Lineage: Eukaryota; Fungi; Ascomycota; Eurotiomycetes; Onygenales; Arthrodermataceae.
AAACUUUCAACAACGGAUCUCUUGGUUCCGGCAUCGAUGAAGAACGCAGCGAAAUGCGAUAAGUAAUGUGAAUUGCAGAAUUCCGUGAAUCAUCGAAUCUUUGAACGCACAUUGCGGCCCCUGGUAUUCCGGGGGCCAUGCCUGUUCGAGCGUCAUUU